RNAcentral lists this ribosomal RNA (492 nucleotides) under uncultured bacterium. RNAcentral's name for it is "partial 16S ribosomal RNA". It matches the Rfam family "Bacterial small subunit ribosomal RNA", at positions 29 to 507 of the family's 1533-position model. The record is from RNAcentral.
AGUGAGCGCUGGCGGUAGGCCUAACACAUGCAAGUCGAACGGCAGCACAGUAAGAGCUUGCUCUUACGGGUGGCGAGUGGCGGACGGGUGCGGAAUACAUCGGAAUCUACUUUUUCGUGGGGGCUAACGUAGGGAAACUUACGCUAAUACCGCAUACGACCUACGGGUGAAAGCAGGGGAUCUUCGGACCUUGCGCGAUUGAUUGAGCCGAUGUCGGAUUAGCUAGUUGGCGGGGUAAAGGCCCACCAAGGCGACGAUCCGUAGCUGGUCUGAGAGGAUGAUCAGCCACACUGGAACUGAGACACGGUCCAGACUCCUACGGGAGGCAGCAGUGGGGAAUAUUGGACAAUGGGCGCAAGCCUGAUCCAGCCAUACCGCGUGGGUGAAGAAGGCCUUCGGGUUGUAAAGCCCUUUUGGUUGGAAAGAAAAGCAGCAGGUUAAUACCCCGCUGUUCUGACGGUACCCAAAGAAUAAGCACCGGCUAACUUCGUG